AAGUCGUAACAAGGUUUCCGUAGGUGAACCUGCGGAAGGAUCAUUACCAAUAUAGCGAACCGAGCGUUAGCGAGGCUUCGCGAUCAAAUUUGUAUUUAAAACCCAACUCUUUAAAUUGUAUAUAUUAUUAUUGUAUUCUAAAUAAUAAAGAUCACUUUCAACAACGGAUCUCUUGGCUCUC
This 181-nucleotide unclassified non-coding RNA is filed under the name Glomus indicum. RNAcentral describes it as "partial internal transcribed spacer region". The stretch from base 1 to 46 matches the Rfam family "Eukaryotic small subunit ribosomal RNA", at positions 1786 to 1831 of the family's 1831-position model. The record is from RNAcentral. Lineage: Eukaryota; Fungi; Glomeromycota; Glomeromycetes; Glomerales; Glomeraceae.